Molecule: ribosomal RNA, 250 nt
Filed under: uncultured bacterium
Lineage: Bacteria
Description: partial 16S ribosomal RNA
Rfam family: Bacterial small subunit ribosomal RNA
Source: RNAcentral
UACGUAGGGGGCGAGCGUUGUCCGGAUUUACUGGGCGUAAAGGGUGAGUAGGCGGUUAUGUAUGUCAGAUGUAAAAGGCACAGGCUUAACUUGUGUUAGCAUUUGAAACUGCAUAACUUGAGUGCAGGAGAGGUAAGUGGAAUUCCAGGUGUAGCGGUGAAAUGCGUAGAUAUUAGGAGGAACACCAGUGGCGAAGGCGACUUACUGGACUGUAACUGACGCUGAGGCGCGAAAGCGUGGGGAGCAAACA